Long non-coding RNA from Meriones unguiculatus (Mongolian gerbil), 11305 nucleotides. RefSeq lists it as uncharacterized. The record is from RefSeq and is a predicted model, not a curated record. The transcript is spliced from 9 exons. Lineage: Eukaryota; Metazoa; Chordata; Mammalia; Rodentia; Muridae.
UUUCUGUCCUGUGAAGGAGCACAUUGUGAGUGGAGUGGAAGAGAAUGUGGUCAGGGCAUCUGUAUGUCCUCUAUGGCCUAAAAUGGUCAGGUCAAAGUAAUGUGAGGAUGCACCUCCAGGAGUAGUGCCUUUGGGGACAGGAGCAGUGAAAGGCUUCUCUUGCAUCCUGGAAUGAAUGCCACGCACCCAGGAAUAAUGAUGGCCAACAAUUUAAUCAGGGCCAAAGAAGCAAAAGCAGUGAGAGGAUCAAACUUAGCCUCUCUGCUUCCACAGCCAGAGAUAGCCAGCUCCCACCUUUCAGUACCAUGGCCAUUCUCCUAGCAUUGUCUACACCUAUGUUCUUCCUCAUGUGAUUUUGACACUGGUGGAAAGAGCAACCUGUAGGAUGGGCAAAUAUCUGCUGGGUGGUCCUUUAUGCAUUUGAGAAAACAUCAUAGGGGUAGUCUUCUCUCUCCAGGGCAUGCUUCUCACCUGGAAAUCCUCGGAGGGAUUUCUGUCUGGAUCUCGUGGUGCUACCAGACCAGGGUAGGCACAGAAACACACAAAGUAUUGUGUAGGCCUCCUGUCUAGCUGAAAUGUAGUUGCAUGGCGACCCAUUGCAAUGAUCUCAAAAGUUUUUGAGUCUACUGCCGAAAUCCGUAACGUGUCACGGCAUUGGUCUUACACCUGCCCUUAUCAGUGGGUCUUUCAGGUGGAUCUACUCACGAUUGGCUGGAGAAUGAUGACCAAGUAAGAGUUGAAUGAAAACCAGAUGAGGAUACUCAGGGCCAAAGGACAACCCAAUGAAUCUUGUUGAUUUUCCUCGGUCCAAUCACCAGGGGUGCUUGGGGAUAUGGGAGAUUUAGACCUAGUCUAACUGUCGGCACGUCAAUUGCUGCAGCUCCUGCUCAAGAGUGGCAGUGCAAGCAGAAACCUAAAAUCAGGGAUGAAUGGAUUUGGCGAUUCCUACAAAUCUACUGCAGGAAAUCACCCAAAUGGAAAACCCAGAGCCCAGCUCUCAGCCAUCCUGUUCUGUCUGUGAACAUUGACUCAUAUCUAUUUGAGUGAGAAUGAUGGGAAUCCAGGAAAUCUGGAAUUCCUGCUCUAGAAAUGGAGGCGUCCUGGGAAGACCAUUUUCAGAUUCACCCAAAGACGAUAAUUUGAGACCAGCAGAGAUUGUAAAACCUGGAGGCAUAGUCAGUGGAAAUUGUGUCCCAAGCCAGCAACUUUCCACUCACCUGAUUGGUGUGAGGCUGUGGACUGCAAGAGGUCACGGCAGAUGACUACAAGGAAAGACAGAAGACAAAGGCGUGAGCCCCCUGCCCCUUGGCAGCAUAGUCUAGUGGAGCUGUAGAAAAUCAGAAAAGGAGCUGGUCGAUGGGGCCCUCGGUGCUCUCACACAGAUGUGCCCCAGGAGUGUAUAGGAAUCUGCCUCAGGGAAAAAGGGGCUUUGGGACCUAAGGACUUCCCUUACAUCACUUGUCUCAAAGAGAAGUAGGCCCUCAUCUCCCACAUCUCCUUGGCUGGGCCUCAGCGUAAUCCUACUGAGCAUGAAUUUUAUGUCAUCACCUCUUUUCGUGACAUUGGGUUGUCUACACAGACCCAGCCAUGGACAGACAGAGCUACGCAUGUCUUUUGAUCCUCUACAAUAACAGCUUACCAGAGCCCACAAGACUUCCAUGGAGAUGGGUUGAGGUAAGUUUAGCCUGCACGGGAUAGCUGGGUCCCAAUGACUUCAAGGGAUGCAGGGACAGCAUUUUUUCUGUCCUGUGAAGGAGCACAUUGUGAGUGGAGUGGAAGAGAAUGUGGUCAGGGCAUCUGUAUGUCCUCUAUGGCCUAAAAUGGUCAGGUCAAAGUAAUGUGAGGAUGCACCUCCAGGAGUAGUGCCUUUGGGGACAGGAGCAGUGAAAGGCUUCUCUUGCAUCCUGGAAUGAAUGCCACGCACCCAGGAAUAAUGAUGGCCAACAAUUUAAUCAGGGCCAAAGAAGCAAAAGCAGUGAGAGGAUCAAACUUAGCCUCUCUGCUUCCACAGCCAGAGAUAGCCAGCUCCCACCUUUCAGUACCAUGGCCAUUCUCCUAGCAUUGUCUACACCUAUGUUCUUCCUCAUGUGAUUUUGACACUGGUGGAAAGAGCAACCUGUAGGAUGGGCAAAUAUCUGCUGGGUGGUCCUUUAUGCAUUUGAGAAAACAUCAUAGGGGUAGUCUUCUCUCUCCAGGGCAUGCUUCUCACCUGGAAAUCCUCGGAGGGAUUUCUGUCUGGAUCUCGUGGUGCUACCAGACCAGGGUAGGCACAGAAACACACAAAGUAUUGUGUAGGCCUCCUGUCUAGCUGAAAUGUAGUUGCAUGGCGACCCAUUGCAAUGAUCUCAAAAGUUUUUGAGUCUACUGCCGAAAUCCGUAACGUGUCACGGCAUUGGUCUUACACCUGCCCUUAUCAGUGGGUCUUUCAGGUGGAUCUACUCACGAUUGGCUGGAGAAUGAUGACCAAGUAAGAGUUGAAUGAAAACCAGAUGAGGAUACUCAGGGCCAAAGGACAACCCAAUGAAUCUUGUUGAUUUUCCUCGGUCCAAUCACCAGGGGUGCUUGGGGAUAUGGGAGAUUUAGACCUAGUCUAACUGUCGGCACGUCAAUUGCUGCAGCUCCUGCUCAAGAGUGGCAGUGCAAGCAGAAACCUAAAAUCAGGGAUGAAUGGAUUUGGCGAUUCCUACAAAUCUACUGCAGGAAAUCACCCAAAUGGAAAACCCAGAGACCAGCUCUCAGCCAUCCUGUUCUGUCUGUGAACAUUGACUCAUAUCUAUUUGAGUGAGAAUGAUGGGAAUCCAGGAAAUCUGGAAUUCCUGCUCUAGAAAUGGAGGUGUCCUGAGAAGACCAUUUUCGGAUUCACCCAAAGACGAUAAUUUGAGACCAGCAGAGAUUGUAAAACCUGGAGGCAUAGUCAGUGGAAAUUGUGUCCCAAGCCAGCAACUUUCCACUCACCUGAUUGGUGUGAGGCUGUGGACUGCAAGAGGUCACGGCAGAUGACUACAAGGAAAGACAGAAGACAAAGGCUUGAGCCCCCUGCCCCUUGGCAGCAUAGUCUAGUGGAGCUGUAGAAAAUCAGAAAAGGAGCUGGUCGAUGGGGCCCUCGGUGCUCUCACUCAGAUGUGCCCCAGGAGUGUAUAGGAAUCUGCCUCAGGGAAAAAGGGGCUUUGGGACCUAAGGACUUCCCUUACAUCACUUGUCUCAAAGAGAAGUAGGCCCUCAUCUCCCACAUCUCCUUGGCUGGGCCUCAGCGUAAUCCUACUGAGCAUGAAUUUUAUGUCAUCACCUCUUUUCGUGACAUUGGGUUGUCUACACAGACCCAGCCAUGGACAGACAGAGCUACGCAUGUCUUUUGAUCCUCUACAAUAACAGCUUACCAGAGCCCACAAGACUUCCAUGGAGAUGGGUUGAGGUAAGUUUAGCCUGCACGGGAUAGCUGGGUCCCAAUGACUUCAAGGGAUGCAGGGACAGCAUUUUUUCUGUCCUGUGAAGGAGCACAUUGUGAGUGGAGUGGAAGAGAAUGUGGUCAGGGCAUCUGUAUGUCCUCUAUGGCCUAAAAUGGUCAGGUCAAAGUAAUGUGAGGAUGCACCUCCAGGAGUAGUGCCUUUGGGGACAGGAGCAGUGAAAGGCUUCUCUUGCAUCCUGGAAUGAAUGCCACGCACCCAGGAAUAAUGAUGGCCAACAAUUUAAUCAGGGCCAAAGAAGCAAAAGCAGUGAGAGGAUCAAACUUAGCCUCUCUGCUUCCACAGCCAGAGAUAGCCAGCUCCCACCUUUCAGUACCAUGGCCAUUCUCCUAGCAUUGUCUACACCUAUGUCCUUCCUCAUGUGAUUUUGACACUGGUGGAAAGAGCAACCUGUAGGAUGGGCAAAUAUCUGCGGGGUGGUCCUUUAUGCAUUUGAGAAAACAUCAUAGGGGUAGUCCUCUCUCUCCAGGGCCUGCUUCUCACCUGGAAAUCCUCGGAGGGAUUUCUGUCUGGAUCUCCUGGUGCUACCAGACCAGGGUAGGCACAGAAACACACAAAGUAUUGUGUAGGCCUCCUGUCUAGCUGAAAUGUAGUUGCAUGGCGACCCACUGCAAUGAUCUCAAAAGUUUUUGAGUCUACUGCCGAAAUCCGUAACGUGUCACGGCAUUGGUCUUACACCUGCCCUUAUCAGUGGGUCUUUCAGGUGGAUCUACUCACGAUUGGCUGGAGAAUGAUGACCAAGUAAGAGUUGAAUGAAAACCAGAUGAGGAUACUCAGGGCCAAAGGACAACCCAAUGAAUCUUGUUGAUUUUCCUCGGUCCAAUCACCAGGCUCCUGCUCAAGAGUGGCAGUGCAAGCAGAAACCUAAAAUCAGGGAUGAAUGGAUUUGGCGAUUCCUACAAAUCUACUGCAGGAAAUCACCCAAAUGGAAAACCCAGAGCCCAGCUCUCAGCCAUCCUGUUCUGUCUGUGAACAUUGACUCAUAUCUAUUUGAGUGAGAAUGAUGGGAAUCCAGGAAAUCUGGAAUUCCUGCUCUAGAAAUGGAGGCGUCCUGGGAAGACCAUUUUCAGAUUCACCCAAAGACGAUAAUUUGAGACCAGCAGAGAUUGUAAAACCUGGAGGCAUAGUCAGUGGAAAUUGUGUCCCAAGCCAGCAACUUUCCACUCACCUGAUUGGUGUGAGGCUGUGGACUGCAAGAGGUCACGGCAGAUGACUACAAGGAAAGACAGAAGACAAAGGCGUGAGCCCCCUGCCCCUUGGCAGCAUAGUCUAGUGGAGCUGUAGAAAAUCAGAAAAGGAGCUGGUCGAUGGGGCCCUCGGUGCUCUCACACAGAUGUGCCCCAGGAGUGUAUAGGAAUCUGCCUCAGGGAAAAAGGGGCUUUGGGACCUAAGGACUUCCCUUACAUCACUUGUCUCAAAGAGAAGUAGGCCCUCAUCUCCCACAUCUCCUUGGCUGGGCCUCAGCGUAAUCCUACUGAGCAUGAAUUUUAUGUCAUCACCUCUUUUCGUGACAUUGGGUUGUCUACACAGACCCAGCCAUGGACAGACAGAGCUACGCAUGUCUUUUGAUCCUCUACAAUAACAGCUUACCAGAGCCCACAAGACUUCCAUGGAGAUGGGUUGAGGUAAGUUUAGCCUGCACGGGAUAGCUGGGUCCCAAUGACUUCAAGGGAUGCAGGGACAGCAUUUUUUCUGUCCUGUGAAGGAGCACAUUGUGAGUGGAGUGGAAGAGAAUGUGGUCAGGGCAUCUGUAUGUCCUCUAUGGCCUAAAAUGGUCAGGUCAAAGUAAUGUGAGGAUGCACCUCCAGGAGUAGUGCCUUUGGGGACAGGAGCAGUGAAAGGCUUCUCUUGCAUCCUGGAAUGAAUGCCACGCACCCAGGAAUAAUGAUGGCCAACAAUUUAAUCAGGGCCAAAGAAGCAAAAGCAGUGAGAGGAUCAAACUUAGCCUCUCUGCUUCCACAGCCAGAGAUAGCCAGCUCCCACCUUUCAGUACCAUGGCCAUUCUCCUAGCAUUGUCUACACCUAUGUUCUUCCUCAUGUGAUUUUGACACUGGUGGAAAGAGCAACCUGUAGGAUGGGCAAAUAUCUGCUGGGUGGUCCUUUAUGCAUUUGAGAAAACAUCAUAGGGGUAGUCUUCUCUCUCCAGGGCAUGCUUCUCACCUGGAAAUCCUCGGAGGGAUUUCUGUCUGGAUCUCGUGGUGCUACCAGACCAGGGUAGGCACAGAAACACACAAAGUAUUGUGUAGGCCUCCUGUCUAGCUGAAAUGUAGUUGCAUGGCGACCCAUUGCAAUGAUCUCAAAAGUUUUUGAGUCUACUGCCGAAAUCCGUAACGUGUCACGGCAUUGGUCUUACACCUGCCCUUAUCAGUGGGUCUUUCAGGUGGAUCUACUCACGAUUGGCUGGAGAAUGAUGACCAAGUAAGAGUUGAAUGAAAACCAGAUGAGGAUACUCAGGGCCAAAGGACAACCCAAUGAAUCUUGUUGAUUUUCCUCGGUCCAAUCACCAGGGGUGCUUGGGGAUAUGGGAGAUUUAGACCUAGUCUAACUGUCGGCACGUCAAUUGCUGCAGCUCCUGCUCAAGAGUGGCAGUGCAAGCAGAAACCUAAAAUCAGGGAUGAAUGGAUUUGGCGAUUCCUACAAAUCUACUGCAGGAAAUCACCCAAAUGGAAAACCCAGAGCCCAGCUCUCAGCCAUCCUGUUCUGUCUGUGAACAUUGACUCAUAUCUAUUUGAGUGAGAAUGAUGGGAAUCCAGGAAAUCUGGAAUUCCUGCUCUAGAAAUGGAGGCGUCCUGGGAAGACCAUUUUCAGAUUCACCCAAAGACGAUAAUUUGAGACCAGCAGAGAUUGUAAAACCUGGAGGCAUAGUCAGUGGAAAUUGUGUCCCAAGCCAGCAACUUUCCACUCACCUGAUUGGUGUGAGGCUGUGGACUGCAAGAGGUCACGGCAGAUGACUACAAGGAAAGACAGAAGACAAAGGCGUGAGCCCCCUGCCCCUUGGCAGCAUAGUCUAGUGGAGCUGUAGAAAAUCAGAAAAGGAGCUGGUCGAUGGGGCCCUCGGUGCUCUCACACAGAUGUGCCCCAGGAGUGUAUAGGAAUCUGCCUCAGGGAAAAAGGGGCUUUGGGACCUAAGGACUUCCCUUACAUCACUUGUCUCAAAGAGAAGUAGGCCCUCAUCUCCCACAUCUCCUUGGCUGGGCCUCAGCGUAAUCCUACUGAGCAUGAAUUUUAUGUCAUCACCUCUUUUCGUGACAUUGGGUUGUCUACACAGACCCAGCCAUGGACAGACAGAGCUACGCAUGUCUUUUGAUCCUCUACAAUAACAGCUUACCAGAGCCCACAAGACUUCCAUGGAGAUGGGUUGAGGUAAGUUUAGCCUGCACGGGAUAGCUGGGUCCCAAUGACUUCAAGGGAUGCAGGGACAGCAUUUUUUCUGUCCUGUGAAGGAGCACAUUGUGAGUGGAGUGGAAGAGAAUGUGGUCAGGGCAUCUGUAUGUCCUCUAUGGCCUAAAAUGGUCAGGUCAAAGUAAUGUGAGGAUGCACCUCCAGGAGUAGUGCCUUUGGGGACAGGAGCAGUGAAAGGCUUCUCUUGCAUCCUGGAAUGAAUGCCACGCACCCAGGAAUAAUGAUGGCCAACAAUUUAAUCAGGGCCAAAGAAGCAAAAGCAGUGAGAGGAUCAAACUUAGCCUCUCUGCUUCCACAGCCAGAGAUAGCCAGCUCCCACCUUUCAGUACCAUGGCCAUUCUCCUAGCAUUGUCUACACCUAUGUUCUUCCUCAUGUGAUUUUGACACUGGUGGAAAGAGCAACCUGUAGGAUGGGCAAAUAUCUGCUGGGUGGUCCUUUAUGCAUUUGAGAAAACAUCAUAGGGGUAGUCUUCUCUCUCCAGGGCAUGCUUCUCACCUGGAAAUCCUCGGAGGGAUUUCUGUCUGGAUCUCGUGGUGCUACCAGACCAGGGUAGGCACAGAAACACACAAAGUAUUGUGUAGGCCUCCUGUCUAGCUGAAAUGUAGUUGCAUGGCGACCCAUUGCAAUGAUCUCAAAAGUUUUUGAGUCUACUGCCGAAAUCCGUAACGUGUCACGGCAUUGGUCUUACACCUGCCCUUAUCAGUGGGUCUUUCAGGUGGAUCUACUCACGAUUGGCUGGAGAAUGAUGACCAAGUAAGAGUUGAAUGAAAACCAGAUGAGGAUACUCAGGGCCAAAGGACAACCCAAUGAAUCUUGUUGAUUUUCCUCGGUCCAAUCACCAGGGGUGCUUGGGGAUAUGGGAGAUUUAGACCUAGUCUAACUGUCGGCACGUCAAUUGCUGCAGCUCCUGCUCAAGAGUGGCAGUGCAAGCAGAAACCUAAAAUCAGGGAUGAAUGGAUUUGGCGAUUCCUACAAAUCUACUGCAGGAAAUCACCCAAAUGGAAAACCCAGAGCCCAGCUCUCAGCCAUCCUGUUCUGUCUGUGAACAUUGACUCAUAUCUAUUUGAGUGAGAAUGAUGGGAAUCCAGGAAAUCUGGAAUUCCUGCUCUAGAAAUGGAGGCGUCCUGGGAAGACCAUUUUCAGAUUCACCCAAAGACGAUAAUUUGAGACCAGCAGAGAUUGUAAAACCUGGAGGCAUAGUCAGUGGAAAUUGUGUCCCAAGCCAGCAACUUUCCACUCACCUGAUUGGUGUGAGGCUGUGGACUGCAAGAGGUCACGGCAGAUGACUACAAGGAAAGACAGAAGACAAAGGCGUGAGCCCCCUGCCCCUUGGCAGCAUAGUCUAGUGGAGCUGUAGAAAAUCAGAAAAGGAGCUGGUCGAUGGGGCCCUCGGUGCUCUCACACAGAUGUGCCCCAGGAGUGUAUAGGAAUCUGCCUCAGGGAAAAAGGGGCUUUGGGACCUAAGGACUUCCCUUACAUCACUUGUCUCAAAGAGAAGUAGGCCCUCAUCUCCCACAUCUCCUUGGCUGGGCCUCAGCGUAAUCCUACUGAGCAUGAAUUUUAUGUCAUCACCUCUUUUCGUGACAUUGGGUUGUCUACACAGACCCAGCCAUGGACAGACAGAGCUACGCAUGUCUUUUGAUCCUCUACAAUAACAGCUUACCAGAGCCCACAAGACUUCCAUGGAGAUGGGUUGAGUGGGUCUUUCAGGUGGAUCUACUCACGAUUGGCUGGAGAAUGAUGACCAAGUAAGAGUUGAAUGAAAACCAGAUGAGGAUACUCAGGGCCAAAGGACAACCCAAUGAAUCUUGUUGAUUUUCCUCGGUCCAAUCACCAGGGGUGCUUGGGGAUAUGGGAGAUUUAGACCUAGUCUAACUGUCGGCACGUCAAUUGCUGCAGCUCCUGCUCAAGAGUGGCAGUGCAAGCAGAAACCUAAAAUCAGGGAUGAAUGGAUUUGGCGAUUCCUACAAAUCUACUGCAGGAAAUCACCCAAAUGGAAAACCCAGAGCCCAGCUCUCAGCCAUCCUGUUCUGUCUGUGAACAUUGACUCAUAUCUAUUUGAGUGAGAAUGAUGGGAAUCCAGGAAAUCUGGAAUUCCUGCUCUAGAAAUGGAGGCGUCCUGAGAAGACCAUUUUCGGAUUCACCCAAAGACGAUAAUUUGAGACCAGCAGAGAUUGUAAAACCUGGAGGCAUAGUCAGUGGAAAUUGUGUCCCAAGCCAGCAACUUUCCACUCACCUGAUUGGUGUGAGGCUGUGGACUGCAAGAGGUCACGGCAGAUGACUACAAGGAAAGACAGAAGACAAAGGCUUGAGCCCCCUGCCCCUUGGCAGCAUAGUCUAGUGGAGCUGUAGAAAAUCAGAAAAGGAGCUGGUCGAUGGGGCCCUCGGUGCUCUCACUCAGAUGUGCCCCAGGAGUGUAUAGGAAUCUGCCUCAGGGAAAAAGGGGCUUUGGGACCUAAGGACUUCCCUUACAUCACUUGUCUCAAAGAGAAGUAGGCCCUCAUCUCCCACAUCUCCUUGGCUGGGCCUCAGCGUAAUCCUACUGAGCAUGAAUUUUAUGUCAUCACCUCUUUUCGUGACAUUGGGUUGUCUACACAGACCCAGCCAUGGACAGACAGAGCUACGCAUGUCUUUUGAUCCUCUACAAUAACAGCUUACCAGAGCCCACAAGACUUCCAUGGAGAUGGGUUGAGGUAAGUUUAGCCUGCACGGGAUAGCUGGGUCCCAAUGACUUCAAGGGAUGCAGGGACAGCAUUUUUUCUGUCCUGUGAAGGAGCACAUUGUGAGUGGAGUGGAAGAGAAUGUGGUCAGGGCAUCUGUAUGUCCUCUAUGGCCUAAAAUGGUCAGGUCAAAGUAAUGUGAGGAUGCACCUCCAGGAGUAGUGCCUUUGGGGACAGGAGCAGUGAAAGGCUUCUCUUGCAUCCUGGAAUGAAUGCCACGCACCCAGGAAUAAUGAUGGCCAACAAUUUAAUCAGGGCCAAAGAAGCAAAAGCAGUGAGAGGAUCAAACUUAGCCUCUCUGCUUCCACAGCCAGAGAUAGCCAGCUCCCACCUUUCAGUACCAUGGCCAUUCUCCUAGCAUUGUCUACACCUAUGUCCUUCCUCAUGUGAUUUUGACACUGGUGGAAAGAGCAACCUGUAGGAUGGGCAAAUAUCUGCGGGGUGGUCCUUUAUGCAUUUGAGAAAACAUCAUAGGGGUAGUCCUCUCUCUCCAGGGCCUGCUUCUCACCUGGAAAUCCUCGGAGGGAUUUCUGUCUGGAUCUCCUGGUGCUACCAGACCAGGGUAGGCACAGAAACACACAAAGUAUUGUGUAGGCCUCCUGUCUAGCUGAAAUGUAGUUGCAUGGCGACCCACUGCAAUGAUCUCAAAAGUUUUUGAGUCUACUGCCGAAAUCCGUAACGUGUCACGGCAUUGGUCUUACACCUGCCCUUAUCAGUGGGUCUUUCAGGUGGAUCUACUCACGAUUGGCUGGAGAAUGAUGACCAAGUAAGAGUUGAAUGAAAACCAGAUGAGGAUACUCAGGGCCAAAGGACAACCCAAUGAAUCUUGUUGAUUUUCCUCGGUCCAAUCACCAGGGGUGCUUGGGGAUAUGGGAGAUUUAGACCUAGUCUAACUGUCGGCACGUCAAUUGCUGCAGCUCCUGCUCAAGAGUGGCAGUGCAAGCAGAAACCUAAAAUCAGGGAUGAAUGGAUUUGGCGAUUCCUACAAAUCUACUGCAGGAAAUCACCCAAAUGGAAAACCCAGAGACCAGCUCUCAGCCAUCCUGUUCUGUCUGUGAACAUUGACUCAUAUCUAUUUGAGUGAGAAUGAUGGGAAUCCAGGAAAUCUGGAAUUCCUGCUCUAGAAAUGGAGGCGUCCUGGGAAGACCAUUUUCGGAUUCACCCAAAGACGAUAAUUUGAGACCAGCAGAGAUUGUAAAACCUGGAGGCAUAGUCAGUGGAAAUUGUGUCCCAAGCCAGCAACUUUCCACUCACCUGAUUGGUGUGAGGCUGUGGACUGCAAGAGGUCACGGCAGAUGACUACAAGGAAAGACAGAAGACAAAGGCGUGAGCCCCCUGCCCCUUGGCAGCAUAGUCUAGUGGAGCUGUAGAAAAUCAGAAAAGGAGCUGGUCGAUGGGGCCCUCGGUGCUCUCACUCAGAUGUGCCCCAGGAGUGUAUAGGAAUCUGCCUCAGGGUAAAAGGGGCUUUGGGACCUAAGGACUUCCCUUACAUCACUUGUCUCAAAGAGAAGUAGGCCCUCAUCUCCCACAUCUCCUUGGCUGGGCCUCAGCGUAAUCCUACUGAGCAUGAAUUUUAUGUCAUCACCUCUUUUCGUGACAUUGGGUUGUCUACACAGACCCAGCCAUGGACAGACAGAGCUACGCAUGUCUUUUGAUCCUCUACAAUAACAGCUUACCAGAGCCCACAAGACUUCCAUGGAGAUGGGUUGAGGUAAGUU